Small nucleolar RNA from Scleropages formosus (Asian bonytongue), 68 nucleotides. Its record names the gene SNORD58. It matches the Rfam family "Small nucleolar RNA SNORD58". Rfam says of the family: snoRNA U58 is found in introns 1, 3 and 6 of the ribosomal protein RPL17 gene in humans. U58 is a member of the C/D class of snoRNA which contain C (UGAUGA) and D (CUGA) box motifs. Lineage: Eukaryota; Metazoa; Chordata; Actinopteri; Osteoglossiformes; Osteoglossidae. The record is from Ensembl.
UUGCAAUGAUGACUUCUUAGGACACCUUUGGAUUACCUGUGAAAAAAAACUCAUAUCAACUGAGCUAU